Non-coding RNA from Myriangium duriaei CBS 260.36, 81 nucleotides. The record is from the annotation of a GenBank genome assembly. Lineage: Eukaryota; Fungi; Ascomycota; Dothideomycetes; Myriangiales; Myriangiaceae.
GGCGUGGUAGCAAAGUGGUUACUGCGUGUGACUAGAAAUCACAUCUCUUCGGAGGCGUAGGUUCGAAUCCUGCCCACGUCG